CCGGGCAGGGACGGGGGAGCCGGGAAGGCUGGAGCGGCAGGAUGGGGGACUCCAAAGUGAAGGUGGCGGUGCGUGUCCGCCCCAUGAACCGGCGAGAGCUUGAUCUGCAUACAAAAUGUGUGGUGGAUGUGGAUGCAAACAAGGUUAUUCUUCACCCCGUAAACACCAACCUUUCAAAAGGAGAUGCCAGCAGAACUCACCCAAAGGUGUUUGCAUAUGAUCACUGCUUUUGGUCUAUGGAUGAAUCUGUCAAAGAAAAAUACGCAGGUCAAGAUGUUGUUUUCAAGUGCCUUGGAGAGAAUAUUCUUCAGAAUGCCUUUGAAGGCUACAACGCUUGUAUCUUUGCCUAUGGGCAAACGGGGUCUGGAAAAUCCUACACCAUGAUGGGUACUGCUGAUCAGCCUGGAUUAAUCCCUAGACUUUGCAGUGGACUCUUUGAAAGAGCACAGAAAGAAGAAAAUGAAGAGCAGAGUUUCAAAGUGGAAGUAUCCUACAUGGAGAUUUACAAUGAGAAAGUCAGAGAUCUCCUUGACCCCAAAGGAAGCCGUCAGUCAUUAAAGGUUAGAGAACACAGUGUUUAUGGCCCUUACGUAGAUGGCCUAUCCAAACUAGCUGUUGCUAGCUACAAGGACAUCGAGUCCUUGAUGUCUGAGGGGAACAAAUCUCGGACAGUGGCUGCCACCAACAUGAAUGAGGAGAGCAGUCGGUCCCACGCUGUCUUCAAGAUCAUCCUCACCCACACCCUCUAUGAUGUGCAAUCAGGGACAUCAGGUGAGAAGGUGGGCAAGCUCAGCCUGGUGGACUUGGCAGGUAGUGAAAGAGCAACUAAAACUGGUGCUGCAGGAGACAGGCUGAAAGAGGGAAGCAACAUUAACAAAUCCCUCACAACUCUGGGGCUGGUUAUUUCUGCCCUGGCAGAUCAGGCUGCUGGCAAGAACAAGAACAAAUUUGUUCCAUAUCGUGAUUCUGUGCUCACUUGGUUACUUAAAGACAGCCUCGGGGGCAACAGCAAGACAGCCAUGGUGGCCACGGUGAGCCCGGCGGCCGACAACUACGACGAGACGCUGUCGACGCUGCGCUACGCAGACAGGGCCAAGAACAUCGUCAACCACGCCGUGGUCAACGAGGACCCCAACGCCCGCAUCAUCCGCGAGCUCCGCGAGGAGGUGGAGAAGCUGCGGGAGCAGCUCACCAAGGCUGAGGCUAUGAAAUCACCAGAAUUAAAAGAACGAUUGGAGGAAUCAGAAAAGUUGAUUCAGGAGAUGACCGUGACCUGGGAAGAAAAAUUACGAAAAACUGAGGAGAUAGCUCAGGAGCGUCAGAAACAGCUGGAAAGCCUUGGCAUAUCCCUGCAGUCCUCUGGAAUUAAAGUUGGGGAUAAUAAAUGCUUCCUGGUUAAUUUGAAUGCAGAUCCAGCUCUCAAUGAACUCCUGGUGUAUUAUUUAAAGGAGCACACGUUAAUAGGCUCAGACAACUCUCAGGAUAUCCAGCUGUGUGGAAUGGGAAUUCUGCCUGAGCACUGCAUCAUAGACAUUACCCCAGAAGGCCAGGUUAUGCUGACCCCUCAAAAAAAUACCAGGACAUUUGUAAAUGGCUCUGCUGUCGUGUGUCCCAUCCAGCUCCACCAUGGAGACAGAAUCCUGUGGGGAAAUAACCACUUCUUCAGGCUGAAUUUGCCAAAGAAGAAAAAGAAGGCAGAUCAUGAGGAUGAGGAGCGGGAUAACUCCAUGAAGUGCAGCAACAGUGUGGAGCAGCUGGAUAUAGAUGGAGACAAUUCCAGUGAAGUGUCCAGUGAAAUUAACUUCAGCUAUGAAUAUGCCCAGAUGGAAGUCACCAUGAAGGCUCUUGGUAGUAAUGACCCAAUGCAGUCAAUCCUGCAAAGCCUGGAGCAGCAGCACGAGGAGGAGAAGAGAUCAGCUCUGGAGAGGCAGAGGCUGAUGUACGAGCACGAGCUGGAGCAGCUGCGGCGCCGGCUCUCUCCCGAGAAGCAGCAUUUCCGCAGCAUGGACAGGUUCUCCUUCCACUCCCCCAGUGCCCAGCAGCGCCUCAGGCAGUGGGCAGAGGAGAGGGAAGAAAUGCUGACCCACAGCCUGAGGAAGCUGCGAGAGCAGAUUGUUAAAGCCAAUUUGUACGUGAGAGAAGCCAAUUUUAUCGGAGAGGAGCUGGACAAGAGGACAGAGUACAAAGUGACCCUCCAGAUCCCAGCUUCAAGCCUUAAUGCCAACAGCAAGAGAGGUGCAAUUCUCAGUGAGCCUGCAAUCCAGGUGAGGAGGAAAGGGAAAGGCAAACAGAUCUGGUCACUGGAAAAGCUGGAGAAUCGACUGGUGGAUAUGAGGGACCUUUACCAGGAGUGGAAAGACUGUGAGGAAGACAAUCCAGUGAUGAGAGCUUAUUUCAGGAGAGCUGAUCCCUUCUAUGACGAGCAGGAAAACCACAGCCUUAUUGGAGUAGCCAAUGUUUUCCUUGAGUGCCUGUUCUACGAUGUGAAGCUUCAAUAUGCUGUUCCAAUCAUCAAUCAGAAGGGAGAGGUUUCAGGUCGUCUGCACGUGGAAGUUGUUCGAGUGAGCGGGGAAAUCGAUGACAGGCUGGUGGGAGGUGAGGACAGUCCUGACUACUCAAAUGAAAAUGACAUCCAGGAGAGAAAACUUGUCUGCAGGAUUAAAAUACUUCAAGCUACAGGUUUGCCACAGCACUUGUCCAACUUUGUGUUCUGCAAAUACACAUUCUGGGAUCAAGUGGAGCCAGUUAUUGUUGCACCUGAGGUGGAUCCUUCCCAGUCUUCCAUCAGCAAGGAGCCACGAUGCAUGGUUGUCUUUGACCACUGCAAUGAGGUUUCUGUGAAUAUUUCUGAAGACUUCAUGGAACAUCUUUAUGAUGGUGCUUUGGCCAUUGAAGUUUAUGGGCACAAGCAGAGUGGUGACCGAAAAAACCCAGCCCUGUGGGAUUUGGGAAUAAUUCAAGCCAAAACACGCAGCCUUCGGGACAGGUGGAGUGAGGUGACGCGCAAAGUGGAGCUGUGGGUUCAGAUCCUGGAGCUGAACGAGAACGGGGAGUACUGCCCAGUUGAGGUGACCCCUGCCAAGGAUGUCAGCACAGGAGGCAUCUUCCAGCUCAGACAGGGGCAAUCUCGACGAAUCCAGGUUGAAGUGAAGUCUGUGCAGGAAUCUGGGACCUUGCCACUGAUGGAGGAAUCCAUAUUAUCUGUUGGUGUUGGCUGUGUUCAAAUAAAACAUGUCAAGUCACAAAAUUAUCAGGAAGAAGAGGAUGAAAUGGACAGUUAUCAGGACAGGGACUUGGAGAGGCUCCGUCGGAAGUGGCUCUGUGCCUUAACAAAGCGCCAGGAGUACCUUGAUCAGCAGCUGCAGAAACUCGUGGGGAAGCCUGAUAAAACAGAGGACGACGCGGAUCGGGAGGCUCAGCUGUUGGAGAUGAGGCUGACCCUCACUGAAGAAAGGAAUGCUGUGAUGGUUCCUUCUGCUGGCAGUGGGAUCCCUGGAGCUCCAGCAGAGUGGACUCCUGUGGCUGGUAUGGAAACUCACAUUCCUGUUAUAUUCCUUGACUUGAAUGCUGAUGACUUCAGCUCCCAGGAUAACCUGGAUGACCCAGAGGCAGGAGGCUGGGAUGCUACUCUGGUGGCAGAGGAAGAGGAGGAGUUCUUUGAGCUGCAGAUUGUGAAGCAUCAUGACAGUGAGGUGAAAGCAGAAGCCUCGUGGGACUCCACGGUCCACGACUGCAUCCAGCUCAGCAAGGGGACGGCGGCGGAGGAGAGGGUUUACCUGAUUGUCAGAGCCACUGUCCAGCUCAGCCACCCUGCAGAGAUGCAGCUGGUGCUGCGCAAGCGCAUCUGUGUCAACGUCUAUGGCAGACAGGGUUUUGCACAGAGUUUCCUCCGAAGAAUGUCCCCCCGAAGUUCCAUCCCUGGCUGUGGCGUCACUUUUGAGAUAGUCUCAAACAUUCCAGAGGAUGCUCAAGGGGCUGAGGAGCGGGAGGCACUGGCCAGGAUGGCAGCAAACGUGGAAGAUGCAGCUUCAGCUGACUCUGAAGCCUACAUUGAGAAGUACCUGCGGAGCGUCCUGGCCGUGGAGAACAUCCUCACCCUGGACCGGCUGCGCCAGGAAGUUGCUGUAAAGGAGCAGCUGAUGGGAAAAGGAAAACUCUACCGCAGGAGCCUGAGCUCCCCCAACGUGAAUCGGCUUUCUACAAGCCGCCAGGAUUUAGCUCCCCCUUAUAACCUGAGCAGCAACAGGAGUCCAAAGGUCCCAGCAGAGGGUCGAUGGGAGAGUCAACAAGAUGUGUCCCAAGGUGCCACAAACUCCAGUAGAGGCAUUAGUCCAUCUCAUACCUCCCUGCCAGGCUCUGGGCAGCAGAACCACUCCCCUGAUCCAGGUAUUGGUAGCCUGGCUGCUUCCUACCUGAAUCCUGUCAAGUCCUUGGUGCCUCAGAUGCCAAAGCUGCUGAAGUCCCUGUUCCCUGUUAGAGAUGAGAAAAAGGGCAGGCAGAGCUCUCCCCUUGCACAGCAGGCUGUCCCACGAAUUAUGGUUCAGUCAGCCAGUCUGGAGGCCAGUGCUGCAAGGAUAAAACAGAUUAACCAAGAGGAAGCAGCAAAGCAGCCACUGGAAACUGUGGCACAGACGCCCGAGGUGGACAAGAGUCUGGAGAAGACACCCAAAGUGCCUUUGCAGCAGCCCACGGGGGACACCCAGCCCCAGGACUGCCAGGAGGGACCUCCAAGCCCCCUGAGUGAAGCCUCCAGUGGGUAUUUUUCCCACAGUGUCUCCACAGCCACCCUCUCCGAGGCCCUGGCAGCGGGAAGCGACGCCAUGGCUCAGCCGGGAGGUCCAACACCUGCAGGGAGUGACUCCCCUGCUCCUGCAGUGGCUCAGGUCCCUUCUGAUGUGCAGGACAGAGCUCCUGAGAGCUCUCUGGCCACAAAGAGGGAGAAUCCCCCCACCUUCAGCCUUCCAAGUGCUCCCCCCAGGCCGAGGGACAGCUCUGAAGUGAAUGGGAAGUCUUGCACUUCUCCUUGUCCCAGCGAGCAGGGGAACGAUGCCUCUGCAGCCACUGAUGCAAAACCUCUUCUCUCUACCUCCACUCCAAAGGAGUCAAUAUCCAAACAAUCAGUGGAGUCAGCAGGACCAGCCAGGAAAAAGGAAACAUCUACUGGGGCUUCAGAACUGGGGUUUCCCAAAGCUCAUCCCGACCUGCCCAGCGCUGCAGCCUCCCCCUUCAAAAUCCAGAAGGUGAAAACAUCAGAGCUGAAAUCCUUUACCAGCAUGCUGGGAGCAGACCCCACGAGUUCCCUGGGCACAGAAGAGCAGCAGGAAGAAGAAAAGAGCACCUCCAGUGCCCGUGGACUGAACCACAACGGGUCAGAGACAGCAGAGGAAAAACUGGAGGUGAUUUCUGACUCUGAAGAUGCCAAUGAAAUUCCUGAGUGGCUGAAAGAGGGAGAAUAUGUCACAGUUGGCACCAAUAAGACGGGCACUGUUAGGUACAUCGGGCCCACAGACUUCCAGGAAGGAACGUGGGUUGGUGUGGAGCUGGAUUUGCCUUCAGGCAAGAACGACGGCUCCAUCGGGGGGAAGCAGUAUUUCAGGUGUAACCCGGGCUAUGGAUUGCUGGUGAAGCCGGGCAGGGUGAGGAGGGCCACGGGCCCGGCGCGGCGCCGCAGCUCCGGCCUGAGGCUGCAGGGAGCGCCGGAGAACAGGAGGAGUGGGAACUUCUCCGGGUCAGCCUCCAACCUGGCCUCCCUCACAGCCCUGGCCAAGGCAGAAGGAGGAUCCACGCUGAGACUGGAGAAGAGCCAGAAAAACGCGGAGAACAGGAAAUCCUGGGCAAACUGAGAGAUCCCAGCCCAGCAAACGCCCUGGGAUGCGGCCGGGGGAGCCGGCGGCUUCGGGAAGUGAAAGCAACCAUCCCAACUUCCAGUUGGUGGCAAACACUAAUGAAGGGUUUGUUCUCUCUGCUCUGGGUGAUUGACAUGAUAAUUCUUUGCCUCGUUGUGGUGCUGGAUCCUUCGUUUCCUGUCUCAAAUCCUGACGCCUCCGGGGGCAACCGACGGCAGCCGGGGCCGGCGCGCGGCGCUGGGUGGGUGUAAUGAGCUCCUUCUCUUCCUCCUUUCGGAGGAAAAUUGGUCAAACCACAGAUUCCCAACAGCCACAAAAUCCUCCCCAGGCACCAGUGCUUCCCUGGAAGUGCAGGGCAGUUCCUGAAGAACCUCCCCACAGUAACAGCUCUGUGGUAAUUCCGUAAGAGCUGUGUCAGUAUUGUGUAAUCCGCCGUGAAAGGGCAAGGUGGGAAUGAUUCCAGACGGGCAGAAAAGUGAAAGUAGAACUUUGUUUGGAGAUAAAAAACCCCCAAAGUCCCUUUAUUUAAAGAAGCAGCAGCCCUUGGGUUAUGUGGCUGGGACCAGUGCCUGUUUGGAUCACUGCCCCGUUAUCCCACUCUCCUGUGGAAAGCAGUGUGACCUUCCCCACUGGUUUGUUGGGAAUGGGAGAAAGCCCAUGGCCAGCUCUGUCUGAUUUUUUAUUUUUGAUCCAUGUAAUCUUUGCUCUCACCAUGACAGGAUCCCCUCUCUCACUUGCCCUAGAGUGGCAGGACCUUCUCCUUGGUUCCUCCCUGUGGACCAAGAGGAUUUGAGGUGUCAGCACUGAAGUGCUUCCCCGUUCCCACCCAGCCUUUGGAGACUCAGAAUUUUGCCAAGCAGGGUGUCUCUGUCCUCGUAACAGGAUCAAUCCAGUCUAUUUAUUUUUAUUUAUUCUUUUAAAACAUGAAAUGUUUGCGCUUUACAAUCAUCCCCCUGCACAGAGGAGCUCUCCCAGCACCAUCCCGAGCGCCGAUCCAAAGAGGAGGUGCCUCUGUCAUCCCCAGAACCAGCCUCUCUCUUGGAAAGGGGGAGGUUUGGGCUGGCUUUUAGAAAACUUGAUUUUAUUUGUGGCUGGUUUUUAUCUGCCUGUGGCACAGGGGAUGUAUCCCUGUCCGUGUGUCCACGCACGGAUCGGCCGACGCUUGUUUUCCUGUCAAAUCCUGAAAAGCCACAGAUUUUUCUAUCCUGAGCUGUUUAUAUCUUGUUUAGUCAUCACGGGGGGAUUGGACAGCCUGAGCAAUAGAUGUUUUAGCUACGUGGGGACUAUUUAGGAUGCUAAAUUAAUGAUUAAACUUUAAUAUCUAUCCAGUCGCUGCCCGUGGGUAUCCAAGUGCCUUAAACAUCUGGUUCCGAGGUCCAAGGGAAAGCUCCAUUGGUAUCAAAGGAGAUAGGGAUGCUUAGUGAAGGAGAUAAUUAUGCUGAUUUACUGUAAUUAAUAUCAUUUAUGCAGAAGGAAUAAAAUUAAAAUAGAAACUAAUCUGUAGCAGAAAUAAGCGGGCUGGGUUCCGAUGCAGCCUGCGUAGAACUGCCAGGGGUUGUGUAUCCUUCCAGCUUGGUGUAAGUAGUUUCAGUGUUUCCUAAAUUUUCCUCAAGAAAUCUUAAUAUAAAAUGUACAGAGCAGCUUUUUAAAGAUAUUUUUAGUGUACAGUUUUCCCUCUUUUUCCCUUUGCACGAAGCUCCUGUCCAUCCAACCCACGAUGGGGGAGGAAUUUGGUAGUAAAGAAUUCUGAUGCUGAAAUCCCGGGUUUUAAAAUGAAAACCGGUUUUAUGAACACAACCCAUACAGUGAAACUCUUCGUUUUGGGGUCUGAGGAGUCUUGCCAAUGAAAGACCACCCACUAAUUAAUUUGAUGCCUCUUACACUGCCUUGUUGGUUCUCUGAACUCCACCCUGACCGUGUUUUUAAUUGCACUUUGUUCUGAUGCGCUGCCGGAAGAAGCUGGUGUGAAGCAGCCCCUCCCCAGAGUUGUGUGUUUUUAGUCUCAGCAUUUCAGAUACUUGGAUUUAGGGAUGUCUUUAAAACCCCUCCAUCUUUGCUCAUUGGCCCCUUUUGGGGAAGAUGCAAAGGGAGGAACCUCCAAGUCCUUUUGAAGCCUCUUUUCUUGUGCUGCUGUCUGGGAAUCCAGGAUUUCCCCAGGGAAAGGUGUCCAGGCUGCAGGAAGGGCAGAGAAGGGCAGGAGCAGAAGGAGCUGGGUUGGUGGUUCCCUGUUUCUGCUGCUGGUUAUAAACUCCUCUGGCCUGUUUGGGCUCCAGCCCUGGCUGUGCUUUGGUGUUUGCACACCUGGGACACGUGGCCAGAGGCUGAUCCGACUGACCUGGCCUGGAUUCCCUCUCCUCCCACCCUCAGUUGUGUUGCAGAACCACAGAGAGGGGUGUGAGGGGUGCUUUGAGCAGCCCACACCUGCUGGGAUAACUAUGGGAUGUCCCUCCUCUGGGACAACUGGUCCUGGAAGCAAAUCUGUUCAGUAGGGCUGGGAUGGUUCCAGGAAUCCGCUGGCACGAGGAGCCUGUGGUGCCUUCAUGGAGGGAGGACCUUGCUCAGAGCUCUGUUGGUUUUCACUAUUUCCUCUGACUUUGGAAACAAAACCUGUCUUGAUAUUGCACCCUAAAAUCACCACAAGCUCCAGAAAGCCAAAAACAUCAAAUUUGGCCAUGAGGGUGUUCCUGGAGGAUUCCCUGACUCUCUCCUGCUCCCUCACAGCUUUCCUGGGCAUGUGAGGUGUUUUCUAAAGGAGUUUUUCAAAUUUUUGGCACAGUGAGUGCACAUUCCUCUACUCAAAGCCAUCUGUCACUUCAUCCCAGCUAAGCCAACUAACCAGAAAAGAGGUAAAAAUCAUCAUGGAGGUAAUAAUAUCUAUUUUUUACUGAUAAUAUUAGCUCUACUCUCAGCCUAAAGGAGGAGGUGCUCUUAACUGGAACCGCCCAGCACUGAGGCUGGUCUGUGAAUAGCUAUGCAGAUUUUUCCAAGAUUUUCAUGCACUUUAUACAGGGAAGAAGAAUAUUUAAUGCAGGAGGGUGUCAUUUGUAUGGAGUGUCUCAUCUCCUCUGGUGUCUCUCGGGGGUUCAGUCCUGCUGGCUGUGUCCCUGAAUUGUGGGUGGGUCUCAGAUUCUUGGAAAAUGGUGUUGGUGGGUUGGAAAGGCUCCAUCCCCCCUGUGUUUGCAGGGCUGGGGGUCCCUCCUCCCGUGGGCACCAAGCCAGCUAAGGGGAGGCUGCUCAGAGGGACUUCUUGAGGUUUUCUCAAGCCAAGCCACACCUUUUUCCUGUGUUAGGUUCAGCUCUUGAGGUGUUUUGAUCUCCAUGUCCAAAAUCAAGCCUGUUCACCCCGAGGUUUUGGCCCUUUGCUGUUCCAUGGUGUUGUUGAGUUGAGGAAAACGAACAGAAGCAAAUUCUGUGUGGUGACACCGCCCAGGUCCUUGAACAGAGGGGUCUGUCCGUGGUUGGGGUGGAAGGUUCAGCACCCCCGUGCUUUCCUACAAAGGCAGAGCCCCCUCAUUGCUCCCCACAGCGGUGGAACCCCACCUGAGCGGGGCCUGAGUGUUGUCCAGCCCUGUCCGUGGCAAUGCUCCCCUUGUCCCACCACCGGUUCCUCCGGUUCUUUGCACAACAUUUCGUUUUCCCAGUGCCUUAUCCCGGGGCUGGGCGGCCUCGGGGUGCCUGGAUUUUAGGGAAUGAGGGGGUGAGGAAUGGUGUGGGCCGGUCACACUUCACAACACCUCGAGCGGGGUCACGAUCAAGUGUCUUGUUCCUCCAUCUCCCGUAUCCAUCUUUGGUUUCUGCCCUCUCCACCGUUCCCAAACCGCGAUCCCGUUGGGUUCCCUGGGAGCCGCUCCCAGCUCGUGUGGCCCUGCCAGGGUCAGACUCUGCAGGGGCUCCGUGUACUUUAAAUGAGCUGAAAUCCAAAGAGACUUUGUAAUGAGCUGUAAAGUUUUUAAUUAUUUCUGUACCAUACUAAAUGACUGUAAUAUUGUAUCAUACGUGCGAUGCCGCCUGCAGGACCUGAAUAAACGUCUUCUUUAGA
Molecule: RNA transcript, 9885 nt
Organism: Onychostruthus taczanowskii (white-rumped snowfinch)
Lineage: Eukaryota; Metazoa; Chordata; Aves; Passeriformes; Passeridae
Gene: KIF13B
Gene name: kinesin family member 13B
Exons: 42
Source: RefSeq, a predicted model, not a curated record